RNAcentral lists this ribosomal RNA (223 nucleotides) under Vitrella brassicaformis. Its description in RNAcentral is "partial Bacterial large subunit ribosomal RNA". It matches the Rfam family "Bacterial large subunit ribosomal RNA", at positions 1476 to 1689 of the family's 2925-position model. The record is from RNAcentral. Lineage: Eukaryota; Vitrellaceae.
AGAAGGCUAGGCUGGCCUGGUGAUGGUUAUCCAGGUUUAAGCAGGUAGGCUGGGAUCUUAGGUAAAUCCGGGUUCCCUUAAGGCCGAGAUGUGAUGACGAACCGCUCUUAUACGAGCGGGAAGUGGUUGAUGCCAUGCUUCCAAGAAAAACCUCUAAGCUUCAGGUAACAAACGACCGUACCCCAAACCGACACAGGUGGUCAGGUAGAGAAUACCAAGGCGC